This 984-nucleotide long non-coding RNA is filed under the name Manihot esculenta (cassava). RNAcentral describes it as "long non-coding RNA (MESC_LNC010468)". The record is from RNAcentral. Lineage: Eukaryota; Viridiplantae; Streptophyta; Magnoliopsida; Malpighiales; Euphorbiaceae.
UCGUUAUUCUUGAUGGGUUGAUAAUUUUGUUUUUCGUUCUUUGGAUUAUUUGUAAGAGAAGUAGCUAUCUGUUCUUAAACCCUCAGUAGUGGCCAACUAACGUUUUGGGGGUAUUUACUUGAUUUAUUUGGGAGGCAUGAUUCUCUAAGCCAGAGAAAAUCUUCUGCUAGAAAUAAAUCAACGAAAGAACAGACCGACCUUCCCAGUUUUUGUCUAAUAACUAUUUGACUAGCAGUAGGAAAUAUAAAUAAUUUUCUCCUCGAGAAGAGGUAAAUAGUGUAGAAAAUGAAAAAGAAAAAAUGGCGGGUGAGAUUGUAAUUUUCAUAUAAUAUUGUACCUUUGUGAUUCAAAUUCAGAACCAUUGUGCGUGUAAGUUUCUUAUCUAUUAGCAUAUUUUUCUUGAUACAAGCAUUCUAUACUGGAUGCCUUCGAUUUUCAAAAUUUCAGACUGGGAUGAGGGGCCGUCGACCUGUCUGGGGUAAGGGGAGACUCGAUAAGGGAAAAUGUGCAAGGAUGCGCUGCCACUGAGCCACCGUUGAGCCGAAAUGAAGUGUAAUGGAGAGGAGGAAAGUCUUCACUGUGAGUACCCUUGGAAGUCCUUAACGAUGCUCUGAUAUUUCCAUCGGAAAAAAAAAAAUCUGAACUACUGCAUUCCGGAUACCCCAAACCAUAACCUUGUGUUUGGAUCCUGCAAGAGAAAUAGAGAAAUUAAAUAAUAGAGAGAUUAAAGAAUUAGAGAAGAAAAGAAUUUUGAUUUAUCUUGGAUAAAGGAGUAGUUUAGAGUAGAAAUCAAAUUUCUUGUAGAGAAGAUAUAUAAGCGUUGCAUACCUAUUUCCCUCCCUUUCCUUUUGCCACCAAAUUGGGAGAAAUUUGUAAUAAACUGGGAAAUGCUAGUGUUUUUUCCUUUUAUUUUUGGUGAUACUAAGCUAAUUAAUGAGAACGAGAUAUUCAUAAAUGAACCUAAGCUAAACUAAUCUUUGCUCG